GCGUUAGGUAGGACCGGGGAGCUAGCCCUGCCUCAUACCUCAAAAGGGAUACAUGGAGGGGUCAGUAACCUGCAAUGGGAUCGGAAGCGGAUGUCGAAGGACUCGGUGCGCUCUGUCGAUGUCCUGCCCAGGGGGGUCGGCGGUUGCACCGUGUACACCUGUAGGGGUGUAACUGGGCAUUCGACGAGUGAAACUGGCCAGGCCCGGGAGGGAGCAACCUAAGCUCGAACGUUGGACGCUCCCUGGAUAUCGGGACGGAGGAGGGUUCCGUGACACCGCGAUGUCUCAAUCCGUGAACAGAGUGGGGGCUAGCGC
RNAcentral lists this signal recognition particle RNA (315 nucleotides) under Candidatus Bathyarchaeota archaeon. RNAcentral describes it as "signal recognition particle sRNA". It matches the Rfam family "Archaeal signal recognition particle RNA". Lineage: Archaea; Thermoproteati; Candidatus Bathyarchaeota. The record is from RNAcentral.